Molecule: long non-coding RNA, 5381 nt
Filed under: Sus scrofa (pig)
Lineage: Eukaryota; Metazoa; Chordata; Mammalia; Artiodactyla; Suidae
Description: lncRNA (ENSSSCG00030048975.1)
Source: RNAcentral
GAGGCUUUUAUCCUCAAGUCUUCAACAGCGAAGAAUGUCGGGCCGGACAGAGGGUCAGCUGGGUACCAGCGAUUGAAGUUCUCAGUUACUGCCCACAGAAAUCUGAACUUGGAACACAAGCACCCUUCCUUCUGCACGGACCUUUUUUUUUUGGUAUAAUGAAACCAUUUUUGGAAGAGUGCCUGCCUGUUAUGAAAAAGCAGGCAAGCUGGUUUGGAUAUCUUUGUUUGUGUAAACAUUUUGGUGUUAUUUGUGAAAAUGAUCAGAUGCUGGUGGGGCGGGCAGGCUGACCACGACUCCGCCUGCCACAGCUGCACAGAGGGUUUUGUUUUUUUUUUUUUUUUUUGAAACAUACGUGGGAGAUGGGGAAGAAAUCCACAGUAAAGACUUGGUACAAAAAGCCAUGCAGGCUGCCACUGUGCCCAGCUUUCCUUCUCAUUGUGCCCUGGCUUUCUUGCCGGCUCUCUCCCAAACAAGGAUCUCCUGCUUCAGCUGGACCCGUGGAUCACCUGGGAAAUUCUUUCAAAAAAGUGACGCUCCAGGCUAAUUGAAUCCAGAUCUCUGGUGGGGGAGGAUGAUGGGUUUUGUAGGGGAAGUGGGCGGUGUGGGCCGAAAACCCCGAAGUGCCCCCAUCUUUAGAUUUCGUGAUCUGGAUGGAGAGAGACUUCUUCCUCGAGUUUUGGGUAGAAGGUUUCUGGGGGUGUGGAGCUGGGCUGCAUCCCCUUGGACAAAAGGGAGAGUGGACUUCCAGCCUGAGCCAGGCUUGGCGGGCAUCGCUUCUCUGGGGGCGUUUACUGUUUCCUUGUCUUCCUUCUCCUGGUCACUUCUCAGGUCUCUGGACCUUUACAGGGUGUGCCUCCCAGGCCAGGGAUUGAACUUGUGCCGUAGCAUCGACCCAAGCCUUUGCUGUGACAACACUAGAUCCUCAACCCGCUGCACCAUAGAAGAAUUCCCGUACUUUGUUCUUUUUAUGACUUCAUAAUAUUCCUUUGUGUGGAUGUACCACAUUCAGUGCAUCCAUUCAUCACCUGACGAGCAUCUGAACUGUUUGCAGUUUCUGGCUGUUAGGAGUCAUGCUGCUCUGAGCAUCUGUGUACAUGUCUUAGAGUGGAUUGUCUUUCCAUUGCACUGCUUUUUUACAGCAUGUCCUAAGCAGUAUCGCCUCAGCCAUCAGGGAAGUGUCUUAAAAUGUUUGGCAUCAGAGAUAAGUCAUUAUUCCAAAGUGGACAGCUCUGGGUCAGGGGCCAGGAGACCUGGGGGACCCUGUGCACCUGCUGGUUGUCCUCGGACUGUGAGUGGCUCAGCUCUUGAGAAGAAGGAAAGCACUCACAGCUCCUCUCCUAGGCCUCCUGCUUCUAGAGAUCACGCACUUUGCGAGAGAGGUGGUGCCAUGCUCCUGGAUCCCUACAAGACAUCAGUAUUGUUUGUGUGAUGAAUGAGUCCACGCCGUGGCUAUUGAAUGUAUUUGCACCUUCUAACAGUGUCGUCUUGCCUGUGUCGCUGACUGGUUUUGAGAUUUAUGAGGCCUCACUCAGAAGCAAUGUGUGUCUGGAUUAAGGGAACCUGAGAAUCACUAUUUAUGUCUGACCCGAGGAAAUUCCCUUUAAGCUGCUUAUCAGAGGUGCAUGCUGAGAGCAUGAUGGGAAGAUGGAGUCUUCCAUCCGCUGGCAAAAUCUGGAAUCUGCUCUCACUCCAUUUUAACUGGAGUGACAAUAAGCUAACAGACCCAUAGGUCUACCCGGAAGUAUCUGCUGACAGCUUCACUUUUGUAAAUUUAGUUGAAAAACCACUUGUGCUCUAAUUCUGAUUUUUCCCGAUACUCCAAGUCUUCAGUGUGGAUUAAAACAUCAUCCCUUUUUGUAAAAAUCAAAACAAAGCAACUUUGAUCUAGGUGAUUUAGGAGAAACUAAAUAUGCCUCUAAUUUCACUACCAGUAUAGUGAAUAUUUAUUUUCCACUUAAAGGGCCAUCAGUGCUCCACAAUUUUUGCAUUUGCAAUUUGAAAGCUACCAGAAAAUUUCCACAUUAUUAAAAAAUUAAGUUUCUCUCGAAAAUAUUCCCUGUGCAGACGCUAACACAUGUGUAUGCACUAUUUCACCACCAGGGGGCAUUGUGGUUUGACUGUCCAUUUAAACAGCCCACAUUCUAUCAGUUUACCCAGGAAAUAGAAGGCCUGGGCAUAUUUCUGAUUCCUUCCAAGAAGGAGCCAUAUCUGGGAGAGAACAGAUGUCGAUUCUUUUUCCUUACUAGCAAACGGUAGUGUUGUCAAAUUUGCUAAACUUAGCCAGUCGAAGAUUAACAUGCAGUAUAUAAUAUGCAUGUGCCUAACUGUACAAUAAGUAGUAAAUCACAUUUUUAUGCUUUCUCUGAACUUGGAAGCUGCAAGUUAUUUUUUUUUUUAUUCCCUGGGUGUGAUGAAAUAAAUAACAUUCAAAUACAUUUUAAAGAUGUCAGUCAGCGGGGGGAAAAAAAAGUGCUUGGCAACUGUGUUUGAUAGAUUUCUUUUAUGAUUAAUUCUCCUAUUAAGUUUUAAUGACUUUAAAGAUAUAAAGCUAGAAACCACAAAACUAGGCAUGGUUAAUAAAUAACUGAAAUUCCAGGUGUAUAGAAAUGCAUGUGUGGAAAAAUGAAAUCGUAUAUUCUCUAGGAUGUAUGAGGAAACGGCUCUCUGGAGAGUCUAGAGAGUCAAAUAUCCCCAAAAGGGAGGGGACAAGUUUAAAAACAGGGAACUCAAGGAGAUUGUCUUCCUUUAGGAAAAUCCUAGGAAAAACGUACUCUCUAAGAUUAACCAAUGUAAAGUAAAUUAUCUUACGAGCCAGUAAUUUUCAGCAAGAUGGUGGUUCUCUUGGAUGGAAUGCAUUUCUCCAUUUUGGCUUUUUAAAGUGUCUCUGUCCACAAUUUCAAGUAUUUCUCCCAGUUCCUCCUCACACUUUUCUCCCCAGGCUCAUCUGGCCUGGAAGAUGUGUGCUGAUUCAUUGUUUUGUAAAUGUUCAAAAGCCUGCCUGGUCCCAGGAGUGGGGAUCGGGGUGGCAGUAUUUCAGCAAUGCUCUCUCUCUCUCUCCUUCCUCCUGCACCCAGAAUGUAUGAACCAGGACUCAGCUCCUGCACAGAACAUCUCUGGGAGUCGGGGAGAAUUGAAGAAUCAAUUCUAGUUUCCACGUGGCAGGAGUGAGGCUUGCCUGGGGCUGGCGGGGUCCCCCGCUCCCUGAAACACCCCCUCCACGUCCGAGCCUGUGUGUUCACGCUGGGGGCCUCUGCAGCAAGCACAGCUGGAUUUUUUACUUUCUAGACCAUCUCAAUUCGAGGUCUUAAACUGAACAGUUUAGAAACCAAACAGACAUGAAUCAACAUGAAGAAUAACUGGGAAGAGUUACGGGGCCCCCAGAAGAAUGUAUAAAUGUGUGUGUUUUUGUAUCUGGUUAUGUGUAUGUUUUCAUGCCUCAAAAGAGACACAUGGUAUAUUUCAAUCCAUUCCCGCCACGAAGGACUUUUAUUCUUGAGUGUUUCCGAGUCCCCAAAGCACAAUAGAUGCCAUUUGGAACCUUCACACGAGGCAGCCCCCACACUUCAGAACUUCAAGUCGAAAGAUCUUUUAAGUCCACAAAACUUAUUUUUCAAAGAUCUUGGCCCAUUCCAAAUGAAUACUGAUUCCCAGCCUCUCAAAUGCCUGGAGUGAGAAAACAGGGAAUAUUGUUCUUUUCUGUUUAUAUUAUUUCAUACUGAGUUAAUACACUUGCCAAGAGUCCAGGCAGCUUCUGGCCUGACAAUGCCUUAUUUAACCAGCCUAGUUUUGAGAAUAAAGUCAGGGUCCUCCCCCCACCCCCAGGGCCCUCCCAGCAGUACUCAGGUCACUUCUGAGUUGGAAGAAACCAAAGCAAAUAAAGCGAAUCUGUUUCUCUAUGAAAAUCAUCUUUUUUUUUUUUUUUUCCUGGGCUAGGACCCAGAUUUGGCCCUGGCAAGCAGGACAGCCUGGCCCCACACCGGAACCUCAGUUCCUCCUGGGUUUCAGAGAACUGGAAUCCCCAGGCCCAGCCUCUCCCGGCCAAGGAGCCUCACCAGAAACUGAGGCUUCCGGCUCGCUCCCAGCCUGGAGACUGCAGGCCAGUCUGGCUGGCAGAUGCUCCUCCAGCCCUGGCCGCAUCUCGGUGCUGUCCUGGUACACGGAACGCCUUAGCUUGAGGCUGGAAGAAACUCCACGCGUUUGGCCCGAAAGAGGCAACUCCUUCCAGCUGGCCCGGACGCUGGGCCUUAACAGUGACCCAGAUGAACUGAUUUUGUACAGAGAGUGGGUGGAGAGGACCCUGGGGACCGGGGGUUGGGGGGGAGGAGGGAAAAGCCGGCGCUUGGCUCCAUGCACAGCGUUUCCUUGGCCGAGCUCCAGAGGAGAGACGGGAUCCAGGGCGAAGGGCCCUUGCAGACCCCCUACCCCCACCCCGCAUGCCCGGGCCUUCCUGCUGGACAUCGGGUCGGCCCUGUGCCCCGAAGACAGUCCCCUCGCCAAGCAGGGGCUGCCCAGGAAGGGAGGCCACGGGCUUCACGUGUGGAGGGAGUGGCUCCUGUGGACAUGAGAAGACGACACCAAAGGCUGGGACAUUCCUCCAAAUAGAACUCGGGGCCCCCGCCCGCCCGAGAGACGUAAAGGCCGCGCUGCCUGCGCCCGCACAUGCGCACUCUCUACGGCGCGCCCGCCUCCGAAGCCAGGGCGCCCAGGGCCUUGGCCCCGCUCUCAGAUGAGGAGUGGCGCUCGUGUGAGCCUGGCACUGUCUUCUCACCCAAGAGAAGGAGAAAGGCAAAAGGAAAGAGCCUGAGCCGCCUCCUUUUAGAUGUCCGCCACCCCCAGAUGGCAGAGCCGGAAUGCCCCAGGUACACCGCCUGCCCAGUGGUGAUGCACAGGCUGGAGGCCGCCUUCCCCUCUCGCGCACCUGCCUGAUGCCUGGCUGCCGGGCUGCUGCGCUGCCGGGCGGGGGCGGCGUCGAUGUUCCGCGAGGAACGUGUCUUACCCAGGCCUGCCUCAUGCCAAGCCCCACUUGCUUCAGGCCAGUCCCUUCUAAUCUGCGGUGUUGUUGUAAACACUGGAGAAGCGGGAUCUUUCUAGCAAGGGCAGUGUUAUCUGGAAUAAAAUGUUAGCCCUUAAGAGUGCUCUCGUGUUCUGCCAACAGCGAGGCGGAGAGCAGAGGAGGGAGAGUCAGAACGUGGGGUAUGUGGCAGAGACGGUGCAAGCCAUCUCUGUGUGUCGACCCCGUCUUUAAAGGCAAGAUUAACAGCGAUACAUAAAUAUAAAUGUUUCUUUCUGGCCAAGCACCGCAGAUUAGAUUUCACAUUCGAAAUGUAAAUCGUGCCUAGGAAACAUCGAUGUUUAUUUUCAGCAACUGACCCUCGGGG